AUAACAACGUCGGGAAUACAACCCGGUGAGCAUCGCGGUCUGAGUCUUGGGAGGAAGGCCUUCAGGCGCACCCACGAGGUCGCAGCCGGCACUAACAAACGGUGCAAACGAAGGCAAGUAGACGCGGAACUUUAUCAUAAGCAAGGCUUUCCAAGCCUUGCUUUUUUUU
Molecule: small RNA, 169 nt
Filed under: Pseudovibrio exalbescens
Lineage: Bacteria; Pseudomonadati; Pseudomonadota; Alphaproteobacteria; Hyphomicrobiales; Stappiaceae
Description: Nesiotobacter exalbescens Alphaproteobacterial sRNA ar9
Rfam family: Alphaproteobacterial sRNA ar9
Source: Rfam by way of RNAcentral